GACCAGCACGGCCAGUGGCGACCACCGGCGCACGAGGAACACACCGCCGAGGGCGACCCCGAGCAGGUACGCGAUCACGUUAGGCUCGCGCGCGCCGUCCUCGGAGGCGGCGGAGAUGGAGGCGACCAUCGCGACGGCGACGGCGCCGGCGAGCAGGCCGUCGCGCCCCCAUGCGGGGAGCCGUUCGAUGUGGUGGGAGAUGCGCAUUCCGUGGUUA
RNAcentral lists this unclassified non-coding RNA (217 nucleotides) under plant metagenome. Its description in RNAcentral is "partial contains 5.8S ribosomal RNA, internal transcribed spacer 2, and large subunit ribosomal RNA". The record is from RNAcentral.